Ciona intestinalis (vase tunicate) is the source of this 1120-nucleotide non-coding RNA. The record is from RefSeq and is a predicted model, not a curated record. Lineage: Eukaryota; Metazoa; Chordata; Ascidiacea; Phlebobranchia; Cionidae.
UAAUUAUUCUGUAAUGUGCAUCCCUAGUUCCGUGCCCUGCUAUGUUUACUGUUUAAUUGACCUGGCCUAGCUAAAACGAAUGAAGAAAAACAUCACCGUACGGGUCUUACCAAUAUUUUACUAAGCAUGAAAGACGCAGCUGCUGGAGAUAACAUUCUCAAAGUACUCGGUUUUUCCAGUAGCUUUUAUGGCACUUUGCAAAAAUUUAUUGGCUAUAUCAAUUUUGUUUAGUGCUGGUAUUUGUGAGGCAUUCUGUUACCGAAGAUAUUUUGAUCAGUGGAACUAAAAAGAAGCUAAGGGUGGGAGCUAGGCCAUCAGAAAACCUUCCCAAAAUUACCAACUCAGCGUCAGCCAUUAGUAGGCCAGUGAGACACAGCAAUCUCAGUCAGCUUAUCAAAUCAUUUGAUCUUUUGUCUGUGUGAUACCGUGAUUUAACAUUUAUUAUAUUGGCCUAUAUUUUAAGACAAAUUCUAAAAAAAUUAGGCUUGCUUAAUAAAUUUAUUAAAAGAAAUAACAAUGAUUCCUAUGAUGCAGAGAAAUGGAUUUACUGUAAACAUUUAAAUACACUGGUUGUUGUUGAGUCAAAGGAGGAACGAAUUCUGGAAUUCCUUUACGGUUCAAAGCCAGGUGGGUCUCGUCUGAUGACAUUUGUAGUGUUUUGGUUUAAUGCUAACGCCAUUAAGUGAUUGUAAAUUAACACUUAUCGCCUCGUGUAUGGAAUUAUGACAAUAGAUUAUUCUAAAAAUACUGUAACCGGAUAAGUGUGUAACUUCAUCAUAAUAAACCAUUUGAAUCUGUAUUCAUCGGCUGUGAUCGAUACUAAGCGUAAUAGAAUACUAGCGACGAGAAUGGCCGAAGGCAAUACAGAAACGCCAAGAGGUUUAUCAAACUUUGACGUGCAUGCACGUACAUCAAAUUUAGCCGAAUUGUGGGUGGAAUGAAGAAGUGAGUUCGAAGUCUACAUAGUAGCAACAAAUAUUACGGGAGAUGAACGGAAGAAAGCUAUGCUGCUUUAUACAGCUGGUAAAAAUGUUCAGAAACUCGUAAGGGCGCUGACUGAUGAUAGAAAUGCCGACGCCGCGAAUUGAUGUUAUAAAUUUGCUGAAUACACACUUCGGAA